AGUGAACGCUGGCGGUAGGCCUAACACAUGCAAGUCGAACGGCAGCACAGUAAGAGCUUGCUCUUACGGGUGGCGAGUGGCGGACGGGUGAGGAAUACAUCGGAAUCUACUUUUUCGUGGGGGAUAACGUAGGGAAACUUACGCUAAUACCGCAUACGACCUACGGGUGAAAGCAGGGGAUCUUCGGACCUUGCGCGAUUGAAUGAGCCGAUGUCGGAUUAGCUAGUUGGCGGGGCAAAGGCCCACCAAGGCGACGAUCCGUAGCUGGUCUGAGAGGAUGAUCAGCCACACUGGAACUGAGACACGGUCCAGACUCCUACGGGAGGCAGCAGUGGGGAAUAUUGGACAAUGGGCGCAAGCCUGAUCCAGCCAUACCGCGUGAGUGAAGAAGGCCUUCGGGUUGUAAAGCCCUUUUGUUGGGAAAGAAAAGCAGCAGGUUAAUACCCCGCUGUUCUGACGGUACCCAAAGAAUAAGCACCGGCUAACUUCGUG
Molecule: ribosomal RNA, 492 nt
Filed under: uncultured bacterium
Lineage: Bacteria
Description: partial 16S ribosomal RNA
Rfam family: Bacterial small subunit ribosomal RNA
Source: RNAcentral